CUCUUCUCUCUUCUCAGGAGGUUGUUGAACAGUUUAAAAGUGAACUAGCGCCACCCUCUGGACGGGGUCUGGUACUUACUUCUGCAGAGGUCGUUUGAACACCUUGACCAAUACAUUGUAAGUUGUAUUCUCCUGAAGUAACAUUGUUUUAUUUUAACAGUUUGUUUGCAAAUUUAACAGAUAUUAUUAUUUUAUUUUCCUACAUAUUUAUGGCUGUAUUAUAGGUCUCCUUCUAUGACGUAGGAGCUGCAGUUCUCAUCUACUCCUUUACUGGCUGCUCCUUCAAGGAGAAACUCCUCCCAUUCUUCUGUCCUGGUCAUAAUGAUGGUGGUAUAAACUCUGCUCCUCUGAUCAUCACUCCUGUUAGAGUAAACUAAUCACUCUCUUUGUUUAUUGUAAUGAUUUUAUUCAUUGAAGAGAAUAAAUGUACAUAUCUUGUCUUAAUAUCAUGCAGUCGAAUUUGACUUUAAAGACACCAAAUACAUGAAGCUGAAGUUUGACUUUGAGUUAAUCCGCUAAAUCUGAUGUUCACACAGGAAACAUAGAUUAAUAGUUUUGUUGUCAUGGAGCUUCAUUAAGAUUGAGGCCUCCUACAUUUAUAUGUUUACAGAAUACAGGAUGUUUUAUUGUGUGAUUAACGUUAAUAAAGAGAAUAAAUAAAUAAAUAUACGUCA
Long non-coding RNA from Pseudoliparis swirei, 674 nucleotides. RefSeq lists it as uncharacterized. The transcript is spliced from 2 exons. The record is from RefSeq and is a predicted model, not a curated record. NCBI's taxonomy places the organism in Eukaryota, Metazoa, Chordata, Actinopteri, Perciformes, Liparidae.